UAAUAAGCGACACGUGAUAUGACAACAGAUGUGACAACUUCCUCAUAAUGACGUCAUCCUGAUACAUUACGACAUUCUAGAAGACGGCUUUCACAACGAAUUUACAGAUUUUGAUUCUUAAAGAGAAAUUGGAUCACGUUUGAAUAUUGUUAGAUACAACACCAAGCAUCCUUUCGACCAAGGCAAAGACAGCAUCAACAUGAAGUAUUCUUCAAUAUUUUGCAUUUGUGUCUCGUUGCAUGCAGCGUUCUUACUCUCAACCAGCCAUGCAGCGGGGGAGGUUUCCACAACGGCACCUGGAAUCCCUCAAGCACUUGCUACACAACCAAAUAAUACCACGCAAGCGCCAUCCGCGCAAGUUAAUGAAACCACCCAGGCACCUACAACAGCACCAAAUGAAACCACCCAGGCACCUACAACAAAACUAAAUGAAACCACCCAGGCACCUACAACAAAAGUAAAUGAAACCACCCAGGCACCUACAACAGCACCAAAUGGAACCACCCAGGCACCUGCCACCGAUAUCAACACCAUGGUACCGGAGCUAACAACCGUGAUGGACAUGAGCACACCAGAUUUAGAGACCAGUGCACCAGACUGUAACGACACCACAGAAAACUGCACCGAGGCAACGCAGCCCACUGCAACAGAUCUGAACCCUGAUACAGACGCUCCCACCAUCAUGCCAGAGGAUAUGACUACGUUAGUGCUACCAAACAUGACUACAGCGCAACCAGACAAUGCUACAGCACUACCAAACAUGACAACCAAUCGCCCGAGCACCGAUGACACCGAUGCAUCUACCAUUGCUCCGUAUACUACCUCCAAAGCCACACCCACUCAUUCACCAGACACGCCCAAGCCAUCUACAGUGGCACCAGAGAAGACAAAACAGCCAAUAAAACCAACUACAGAAAAGCCAACGGAACCAGCGAAGGUGCCAACCACCGGUGCAUCAACCACCAAGCCUGAUGAACCAAACAAGACUACAUUACAUCAUGGAAACACAGCUGUUGUUGUUGGUCUGGUUGUCACUGCUAUACUUCUUGUAUGUGUUGUGGGUGUCAUCGUCUACAUCAGGCAGAGGAGAUUGAGAAACAGCUAUGGAAGACUGAAUGAAGAGACGGAAGACAGUGGAUGGUCAGCUUUCUCAAAGAACCCCAUUUACAGAGGAGACAGGAAUGAGCCGUAUUUGUGAGCAGUCUGCGCACACACACACACACACUCACGCACACGCAAGCCCCACAUGACUAUCAGCUGUUAUGAGAUGACCCAAAGUGACCCUAAAGCAUCUUAUCCCAAGCUAUUCAUUGAUCAGAGGCCAUCUUGGAUACAACAUCCUUCAUAUGCCAGCUUAUUAAUAUCCACUUAGCUCCAAACUGCAGAUGAAACAGAGGAAUUAUCAACUUUCUUUGCUACAGCAGAGUAGCAUCUGAACACCCCUCAAGAGAGGAAACACUCAACUGACCAGAUCAAGAGAUUUUGAUAGAGUUCAAAUGUAAUUUUAUUGAGAUAUUGAAAAAAGGAGGGUUUAUGAUUAAAUGACAGUUUAGAGGUUUUAUCUUGCUGCAAGACUUUGGUUUAUCUUCCAAUCUUGAUGGUAUUCUUAUUUGCAUCUUCACAUUCAUCCAUCCAUCUUAUUCAAGAGUAAUUUUUUUUUUCAUGACUAAAUUGCUGAGUUCAUCUUCCAAUUUUGAUGGUAUUCUUAUUUACAUCUAUUACAUCCAUCCAUUCAUCCUAUUCAAGAUUGUUUUCUCUUCAUGAUUAAAUCUUUUUAUUUUCUGAGAGUUUGAGAGGUGUUAAGUCUAUGGAAACUUUAGAACUUAGAACCCUUCUGGCUCUCAGCGGACGCUUUAAGUUUUCCAUCCAUUAUUGUCAGUUUUUCUUUUGAGUGUAAGUUCAAUUUGCAUAUAUAGUUUAUUUCUAAUUCUACCUAUAUUAAGUGGAAUGUGCAUGUGGAAAUUAUAACAAGCAACUAUUUGUACUUUCAUGCUAUCAUCUUUUCUGGUACUGUAUAUAUGUACUUUAACUAGUACUACCCAAUAUAGUAUUCAUGUAUUAUAAGUAUGCUUUCUCUAUGUGUACUACUUUAUCUUUGUGUACUAUGUCAACUGCUUGUAGUGGUAAUUUUACUCCUAUUAACUUCAAGACAGACUAGAUUCUACUAUUAUGUAUUAUAUUAGUGCUAAAUGUCCAGUUGGGCCUGAAUGUUUACAUGCACCUAUUAGAAAAGCAAAACACAUUAUCACAACUUCACUAAUACCUGCCAACUUGUCACUUUAAGAAGAAAGACAAGAUUUGUCUCUGUUUAGUGUAUAGUAUAAACAUUACUUAUAAUCACUCUGAGAAGUUUAUAUACACGUAUGUGACUCUUGAUAGGAAUGAGUGCAGUUGUGAGAAUGCAAGUAAUUUUUUUAAAUUUCCAAGUGUAUGUAAACUUUCAUGCCCGACUGUACUUCUUAAAAGACUACUAUUCUAACUACUAUUAUGACUAUGACUAACACUCCUAUUGCAUGUUCUACUGCCUGCAUGAUUUUUUGCAUGUACUGUUUCUGCUUUUUUACAUUUCAUCUCAACGAUAAUGUAACAUAUGUUUCCUUUCUCUUGCUGUUCCAUUUUGUUGAAGACAAAAUGUGACAGUCUAUACCAGCUUUAACACUAUUAAAAUAUGUCUUUUCAUUAAUUUCCUUGUUUUAUUUGGCUUGUAGUUGUAGCAGUUUACUAAACCACUAAUCUCUUUUUGACUGGUUCAUGCACAUUUGGAAACUUAUCAGUGCAAAUUACAUUUGUCACUUAUUCUUUCUUGAAUUCCCUGUUACUAAUAUAAAUCACUUUUUUGUGUAUUGUAUUUUCCUUGAGUUAAUAUUAACUAUUCAACUUGUAUUUGUUUAGUCAGUCAUAUGUUUUUCUCUUCAUUUAUUGUGAUUAAUUUGUUAUUGUAAUGUUACAGUUUUCACAUAAAGUCAUUCUAACUUAUUCAUUGUUUUUAAAGUAAGCAAAAACAUGAUUUGUGCAAUCAUAUGGCUAACCACCGUAUUCAUAAAAUGUAACAUUGCUUUACCUAGAGUAGAUUCAGAUAUAUUCAUUAGUCUUUUAAAAGAUUUGUGUUUAACACUAUUUAAUAGAACAGUACUGAAUAGAUAGUGUUUGGAAGAGAGCUUAUACAAUAGAUCGGUGCAUAGAUUAUAAGUAAAUAUGUAAUGUGUGUUCCUACAGUAACAAGAUGCAAUUUCACACUCGAGGCAUAAGAUAUUAUGAAGUCAUCAGAUGAUGGCAAGAAGGUGCUAACUCCAUGGACUUAAUACUUUCUAGUCCUAACAGUCGGUUACUAGUACCGCAAUGUACAAUGAGCAAAAAUUUGGCGGUGCAGGGUUAAUUUUUUUCUUCCCAAAACUUUGCUUGUUCUAAAUUUGAAGCAAUAUUCUAAGGAAGUCUUGCUUUGAUUUAGAUGCUCAAGACAGAAUCCAUUAUAUGUAACAAUAUUUGACUACAGUACAGUAUGGUAGAUUGAAUGUCUCACAUGGUGGCUUCUUUGGACACAAACAGUUUAAUGUUACAUAACGUGCAAUUGACAUGUGUACAGUACACUUUUUUAUGUUCGGUUGUAUAGUAUAAAGAAAACAAAGUUCCAUUCUAUUCUUAGAAUUUACUGUACUUGUGAAAGGGGUUAGAUGGACCUGUGUUUUCCAUCAAAUAAAAAACUUGGUCUGUUUGGGGCCAGAAGGGCAUUAACUCACAAACUUGUCAGAGUAAACGACCUUCUGGCUCUGAACAGACAGAAAGUAACAUAGAAGAUUUUGAUACUAAAGUUGAUGGAGAGGGAUUUGAUAGUGUAUUUUAUCUUUAUUUUAUGAAGUCUAUUUCUAGAACGUGUGAAGUAGAAGAUAUGUCUAAAAAUGGAAGUUUGUAGAAAAUGUUUAAAAGCUGAUAAUUCAAGUUUCUCUUAAUCUUGUCACUGUAAUUAUAUAUGUAAUUAAGAUGUAUUUUGUAAAGGUUUGUGGUAUGUACGAGUAGGUUCGAUUCUGCAAGGCACUGAGAUGGAUUAGAUUUUCUAUAGACAAUUUGCCUUUCUUAAAAACUUGUAAAACAUGUUCCAAAGUCCACUGUUUCAGCCUUUAGACUUUGAGAGUUGUUAUCCAUACAGUUUUACAAGAAAUAUGUGUGCACCUUGUACAAGAAAAUGUAUUAUCCCAAAGAGACCACCUUUCCUUAUCUCACCUCAUAAAUAUUGUUGUAAGACAUUAUGCUCUGGGAAGAAUUGCUCUGCUGUCUAUACCUGGGCAAGUUUUUAACUUCAAUCCUUGACUCAAUGCUAAACCUGCAUGUAACCCGAACCCUAAUCCUAACCCUAGCCCUGAAAAUGACCUGAAACUCCAUUGCUAACCAAGCCUGAAAUCCAUACCUUUCAUAGAAUAUAUCCCAGAGCAUAUGUCGUCAAAGCAGAUGACGAAUCGCAACUUGUACAUUAUACAUAAUGUUUCUUUAUUUCAUUCCACCUGUUGUUUUGUCUUGUCAGUUGUUGUUGUUGUUGUAUUUGUAUGUUAUUACAUUGUCUGUCCUGUUUAAGCACGUACUAAAACACAUGUACAUUUGGCUACUGUACAUUUGUCUAUUUUCUGAACUGUUUGGUUUUAAGAGUAUUUGUGAAUCUUGUUAUGAUCUGGCCCCAUAUUUGUAACACCUUACAAAGCUAGUCGUCGACUAAUUUACAGAGGUACUAUUUACUAUGGUACAGAUUUAGUCACAAUGAGCUAGGCAUAGUAAGGUUUUAUGAAUAUGAGCCCUGAUGUAUAGCAGGCCUUUUGUGAUCUUUAGCGAAUGCUCAAGAAGAGAUCUACCAGUAGUUCAAACUAUUGUUCAUUGAUCAAGCGUUUUAUCACAGAAAGCCUUGUAAUUACAUGUAUGUGGUAACACCGGUCACUUUGUAAUAUUAAAGUGUCUUAGAAGUCAUGUAUUACCUGUUGUAAAGCACAAAUACAGCUUUAAAAAGAUGUCACAAUAAUUACUUUUAUUGCAGUUCUGCAGGAAAAAAAAAGAGGAUCCUCACACAUAUGGUAUGGUUGGACGCAGAAGGGCGUUAACUCAUAUACUUUAACACAGAGUUAAUACCCUUCUGGAUCCAAACCUACAAUAUUUAUCUUGUGAAGUGGUUAUCUUUUUCUAAAGUGGUGUCUUUUUGUCAAAUUGUUUUUUUUUAAUGGAAUUUGUGUCUUUUUGUGAAGGGGAUGCAUCAUUUGAAAAGAAAUGUAGAGAGUCCGUUUCAAAGAGGCUAAUAUCAUAAUCUCUGAAAUAGAACUUGAGACCUUCUUGCAGUGAGCUUAUGAUAUUGUAAACAAAAACCAAAAGAUGUGGGUUUUUAUCAAAUUCGGAUGUGCUUUCUAAAUAAUCACGAGGGAACUCUGAACUGUGGGAAACCUUUAGUGUAUUUUUACAAUUGUAAGAUGUAAGAUUUAAGUUUUAAACCAUUGUAUAUGUAGACGGUCAUUUGAGAUCUAUAUUCAUACUGAUGUACACAUAGAUGUGCCUAGUCGGUAUAUAUGUAUUCACUUCGUAGACUUCAUAACCAUUCUGAAAUCUUUCAUGUAUUAUAUAAUUGCUGAUAUAAGCAAAGGGAAGUAUUGGUACUACAUUUUAAUAUUCUAACUUAAGACUGAACCGUUACAGUGCCACAAAGUUUACACACAAGCAUCAAGAAUAAGAUUGAUGAGAAAAAUUGUUAAUCACAUGGCUCCUUAUCUUUGUUCAUCAACUUAAUGUUGCAUUGAGGAUCUUGAUCUGAAUUUUGAUGAUGGAAAAACAAAACAAAAACAUGCAUUUAUUUGUCCCAAAAUAUUAAAUGCAAUAUAAAAAAUUGGGCAGUUUAAACAAUUUAUAGCACCAAAAGAGUUACUGUAUGUACAUAUACAUAUAGAAUGCAAUUUGUCAAUGUAUUUGCAGAUUGAAAUGUAUGAGGAGGAGGAGAAAGUGAAAAGUUUAUUGACCUUGCAACACACUUUCGGAGUAGAAAUAAAAGUGUGUUUAAUCAAGUGCCUGGUAAGCAAGUCUAAGUAAUAAUUGCUUAUUUCUCCUUGCCAUCAUGCAUGCCUAUUUGUGCUCCUUCUCGUUUGCUAAAUUUGACAUGUUUUUUCCACCAAAUUCUCUCCUUUUUUACUUGAUUGUUUCAGCUCAUCUUCUCAAGAUUUAAAAACAAUUGUUAAGGCCCAGUUAAAGUCGUUACGACACAGAUGAAUUCUACUUCACUGUUUACUUACUAGCAGUCAUAUACACUGUAUGUUGUAUGGUAAUUUGUACUGAUUCCCAUAAAGCAAUUAAGACUUAUUCAUAUUUUAAAGUAAUUAGGACUUAUUUACAUUUUAAAACUUAUUUAUAUAAGGUAAUAAACUAACAUUAUUUAUAAAUGGACAAGUAGCUCCUAUACGUUAACUUCUAGCAAGUAUGCAUUUGACAAAUCAUGAUUAGUAAGCGAAUCAAUGUAUAUUCUGCAACAAAUAUAUGUGUAUUCCCCAAAUACAUUAGAUUUAGCGUAUAAAGUUUGCUUAUUAUACUUCCACUGAAGAUAUAUUUUAUUAGCCAAAUUCAAAGGAAUGUUAAUUGAUUGUGGACAAAGCUCCAUGGUCUGUUGAUUGUUGAUUUAUUUGAACGAGUUAUUGCUUUGCAUUAUUUUUCAUCACUGUUGAUUUUCCCAUCUUUGCAUUAUCACUUAAGCAAGAUGCUUACAUAUUUGUUUGCAAUUUAAAUGGUUUUGAGGAUAUGUAUUUAAUCAAUUAAGUCAAAAUUGUGUAUUGUUCUUGGUUUUAAUUGAGGUAGUAAUUAUUGAAUAAAGAAUUUCAUGUGUGAA
This is an RNA transcript of Strongylocentrotus purpuratus (purple sea urchin), 6838 nucleotides long. It is a transcript of the gene named salivary glue protein Sgs-3, with no coding region annotated. The transcript is spliced from 6 exons. The record is from RefSeq and is a predicted model, not a curated record. Lineage: Eukaryota; Metazoa; Echinodermata; Echinoidea; Camarodonta; Strongylocentrotidae.